GAUGAACGCUGGCUACAGGCUUAGCACAUGCAAGUCGAGGGGAAACGCCGGGGAAGCUUGCUUCCCCGGGCGUCGACCGGCGCACGGGUGAGUAACGCGUAUCCAACCUGCCUCUGACUGAGGGAUAACCCGUCGCAAGUCGGCCUAAUACCUCAUGGUAUCGUCUGCGGGCAUCCAACGACGAUUAAAGAUUUCAUCGGUCAGGGAUGGGGAUGCGUCUGAUUAGCUUGUUGGCGGGGUAACGGCCCACCAAGGCUACGAUCAGUAGGGGUUCUGAGAGGAAGGUCCCCCACAUCGGAACUGAGACACGGUCCAAACUCCGACGGGAGGCAGCAGUGAGGAAGAUAGGGCAAGGGGCGAUAGCCUGAACCAGCCAAGUAGCGUGCAGGAAGACGGCCCUAUGAGUUGUAAACUGCUUUUAAGCGAGGAUAAAGUGAGGGACUGGUCCCUCAUUGCAGGUACCGCAUGAAUAAGGACCGGCUAAUUCCGUG
RNAcentral lists this ribosomal RNA (491 nucleotides) under uncultured bacterium. Its description in RNAcentral is "partial 16S ribosomal RNA". It matches the Rfam family "Bacterial small subunit ribosomal RNA", at positions 28 to 507 of the family's 1533-position model. The record is from RNAcentral.